UACAGAGGUGGCAAGCGUUGUUCGGAAUUACUGGGCGUAAAGGGCGCGUAGGCGGCCUUCUAAGUCAGACGUGAAAUCCCCCGGCUUAACCUGGGAACUGCGUCUGAUACUGGGAGGCUUGAGUAUGGGAGAGGGAUGUAGAAUUCCAGGUGUAGCGGUGAAAUGCGUAGAUAUCUGGAGGAAUACCGGUGGCGAAGGCGGCAUCCUGGACCGAGAUUGACGCUGAUGAGCGAAAGCUAGGGGAGCAAACGGG
RNAcentral lists this ribosomal RNA (253 nucleotides) under uncultured bacterium. RNAcentral's name for it is "partial 16S ribosomal RNA". It matches the Rfam family "Bacterial small subunit ribosomal RNA", at positions 524 to 776 of the family's 1533-position model. The record is from RNAcentral.